GACGAACGCUGGCGGCGUGCCUAAUACAUGCAAGUCGAGCGGACGAAUCGAAAGCUUGCUUUUGAUUCGUUAGCGGCGGACGGGUGAGUAACACGUGGGCAACCUGCCCUGUAGACGGGGAUAACACCGAGAAAUCGGUGCUAUUACCGGAUAACACGAAAUGUCGCAUGACGUUUCGUUGAAAGACGGCGCAAGCUGCCGCUACAGGAUGGGCCCGCGGCGCAUUAGCUAGUUGGUGAGGUAACGGCUCACCAAGGCGACGAUACGUAGCCGACCUGAGAGGGUGAUCGGCCACACUGGGACUGAGACACGGCCCAGACUCCUACGGGAGGCAGCAGUAGGGAAUCUUCCGCAAAGGACGAAAGUCUGACGGAGCAACGCCGCGUGAGCGAAGAAGGCCUUCGGGUCGUAAAGCUCUGUUGUUAGGGAAGAACAAGUAACGCAGUAACUGGCGUUACCGUGACGGUACCUAACGAGAAAGCCACGGCUAACUACGUG
RNAcentral lists this ribosomal RNA (498 nucleotides) under uncultured bacterium. RNAcentral describes it as "partial 16S ribosomal RNA". It matches the Rfam family "Bacterial small subunit ribosomal RNA", at positions 28 to 507 of the family's 1533-position model. The record is from RNAcentral.